UCGGAUAUGGUGUAACGGCUAACAUUGCCGCCUUUCAAGAGUGCGUGCGCGGCAGCUCGGGGUUCGAUUCCCCGUAUCCGAA
This 82-nucleotide transfer RNA is filed under the name Pleurotus eryngii. It matches the Rfam family "tRNA". Rfam says of the family: Transfer RNA (tRNA) molecules are approximately 80 nucleotides in length. Lineage: Eukaryota; Fungi; Basidiomycota; Agaricomycetes; Agaricales; Pleurotaceae. The record is from Rfam by way of RNAcentral.